Molecule: non-coding RNA, 261 nt
Organism: Cinara cedri
Lineage: Eukaryota; Metazoa; Arthropoda; Insecta; Hemiptera; Aphididae
Source: the annotation of a GenBank genome assembly
UCUUUCUCUCAAAUACUUCCAACUUUUUUUCAUCUGACUUUGUCGUCGCCCAAGUACUGCUUGCAUAUAGAGCUAUUGGUCUGACUAGAACUUUAUAUAAUGUUACUUUGGAUUUCCUUGAUAAUAGUUUUGAUUUGAACAAUGAUAAUAGUCCAAAGUAACACCUGUUUGCUGCGAUGAGCCGUCUUUUCACUUCUCCGUGGCUAUUAGCAUCUUCAUUAAUAUCUGCACCUAAGUAUUUAAAAUUUCUUACCCUUUCAA